GACGAACGCUGGCGGCGUGCUUAACACAUGCAAGUCGAACGGAAAGGCCCUGCUUUUGUGGGGUGCUCGAGUGGCGAACGGGUGAGUACCACGUGAGUAACCUGCCCUUGACUUUGGGAUAACUUCAGGAAACUGGGGCUAAUACCGGAUAGGAGCUCCUGCUGCAUGGUGGGGGUUGGAAAGUUUCGGCGGUUGGGGAUGGACUCGCGGCUUAUCAGCUUGUUGGUGGGGUAGUGGCUUACCAAGGCUUUGACGGGUAGCCGGCCUGAGAGGGUGACCGGCCACAUUGGGACUGAGAUACGGCCCAUACUCCUACGGGAGGCAGCAGUGGGGAAUAUUGCACAAUGGGCGGAAGCCUGAUGCAGCAACGCCGCGUGCGGGAUGACGGCCUUCGGGUUGUAAACCGCUUUCGCCUGUGACGAAGCGUGAGUGACGGUAAUGGGUAAAGAAGCACCGGCUAACUACGUG
Molecule: ribosomal RNA, 468 nt
Filed under: uncultured bacterium
Lineage: Bacteria
Description: partial 16S ribosomal RNA
Rfam family: Bacterial small subunit ribosomal RNA
Source: RNAcentral